GAUGAACGCUGGCGGCGUGCCUAAUACAUGCAAGUCGAGCGAACAGACGAGGAGCUUGCUCCUCUGACGUUAGCGGCGGACGGGUGAGUAACACGUGGAUAACCUACCUAUAAGACUGGGAUAACUUCGGGAAACCGGAGCUAAUACCGGAUAAUAUAUUGAACCGCAUGGUUCAAUAGUGAAAGACGGUUUUGCUGUCACUUAUAGAUGGAUCCGCGCCGCAUUAGCUAGUUGGUAAGGUAACGGCUUACCAAGGCGACGAUGCGUAGCCGACCUGAGAGGGUGAUCGGCCACACUGGACCUGAGACCCGGUCCAGCCUCCUACGGGAGGCAGCAGUAGGGAAUCUUCCGCAAUGGGCGAAAGCCUGACGGAGCAACGCCGCGGGAGUGAUGAAGGUCUUCGGUUCGUAAAACUCUGUAUUAGGGAAGAACAAAUGUGUAAGUAACUAUGCACGUCUUGACGGUACCUAAUCAGAAAGCCACGGCUAACUACGUG
Molecule: ribosomal RNA, 496 nt
Filed under: uncultured bacterium
Lineage: Bacteria
Description: partial 16S ribosomal RNA
Rfam family: Bacterial small subunit ribosomal RNA
Source: RNAcentral